CCCGCUGAACUUAAGCAUAUCAAUAAGCGGAGGAAAAGAAACCAACAGGGAUUACCUCAGUAACGGCGAGUGAAGCGGUAACAGCUCAAAUUUGAAAUCUGGCUCUUUCAGGGUCCGAGUUGUAAUUUGUAGAAGAUGCUUCGGGUGUGGCUCCGGUCUAAGUUCCUUGGAACAGGACGUCAUAGAGGGUGAGAAUCCCGUAUGUGACUGGCUGCCUCCGCCCAUGUGAAGCUCUUUCGACGAGUCGAGUUGUUUGGGAAUGCAGCUCAAAAUGGGUGGUAAAUUUCAUCUAAAGCUAAAUAUUGGCCAGAGACCGAUAGCGCACAAGUAGAGUGAUCGAAAGAUGAAAAGCACUUUGGAAAGAGAGUUAAACAGUACGUGAAAUUGUUGAAAGGGAAGCGCUUGCAAUCAGACUUGCAUGUAGCCGAUCAUCUGGGGUUCUCCCCAGUGCACUCGGUUGCGUUCAGGCCAGCAUCGGUUUGGGUGGUUGGAUAAAGGCCUUGGGAAUGUAGCUUCUUUCGGGGAGUGUUAUAGCCCAGGGUGCAAUGCAGCCUACCCAGACCGAGGACCGCGCUUCGGCUAGGAUGCUGGCGUAAUGGUUGUAAGCGACCCGUCUUGAAACACGG
Molecule: ribosomal RNA, 626 nt
Filed under: uncultured fungus
Lineage: Eukaryota; Fungi
Description: eukaryotic LSU rRNA
Rfam family: Eukaryotic large subunit ribosomal RNA
Source: RNAcentral